UUACGCUCAAAUCACGUUGAAGCACCGUUUCUCGUACGUUCACCGAAGUUAAGCAACGACGAGCCUAGUUAGUAACAAGAUGGGUGACUGCUUGGAAAUAACAAGGG
Non-coding RNA from Acanthosepion pharaonis, 107 nucleotides. The record is from the annotation of a GenBank genome assembly. Lineage: Eukaryota; Metazoa; Mollusca; Cephalopoda; Sepiida; Sepiidae.